Molecule: ribosomal RNA, 227 nt
Filed under: uncultured bacterium
Lineage: Bacteria
Description: partial 16S ribosomal RNA
Rfam family: Bacterial small subunit ribosomal RNA
Source: RNAcentral
GAUCAUGGCUCAGGAUGAACGCUGGCGGCGUGCCUAACACAUGCAAGUUGAGCGAGAAAUCACUUAAAGAAGCUUCGGUAGACUUAAGAGAUGGAGAGCAGCGGACGGGUGAGUAACGCGUGGGAAACCUGCCCUUGACAGGAGGAUAGCCGAGAGAAAUUUCGAUUAAUACUUCAUAAAGCAGAGCAUUCGCAUGGAUGAACUGCCAAAGAAUUAUCGGUCAAGGA